AUGCAGUUUCCUGUCUCCACAUCCCAAACUCUGAUGGAAGUGUCAAGAGAUCCACUCACCACAUGGAUGCCAUCAAACUACAAGAAAGCAAAUUAACUGCAA
This is a non-coding RNA of Tinamus guttatus (white-throated tinamou), 102 nucleotides long. The record is from RefSeq and is a predicted model, not a curated record. Lineage: Eukaryota; Metazoa; Chordata; Aves; Tinamiformes; Tinamidae.